AGGGGUAGUGUUGUGUGGAGCAUACCAAAGGCAUUAUUGACAAUUAUUGUUAGUGUUUUCUCUACUAUCUCUCAAACAAUGAAGAAGGCUAUUAUUCUAAUUGCUUUUCUCAUUUUGGUUUCUUCAUUUCUCUCCCAUCCUUCUUCCACUGAAGCUCGUGGAUUAUAUGAUUUGACCUCGCCACCAAAUAAUAGGAACAAGCCUGCAGUUGAAUGUCCUCCUAAUUCUCCUUACAGAUCUUGCCUUAAACCUGCGCCCAAACCAACUUGCCCUCCAUAUACACGUAAUUGCAAGAAGUAGCAAAAGAAAUAUAUGACUAAUAAUGAUGAAUAUUAUCCUCUAAAAUAUUAAAUAAAAGGUCGUUUUGCGUAUGUGGAGUGAGAAGUUUCUAAUAUCUUCUUUCUAGCUUUUAUUGUCUCUUGACCAUCAUUUCUGAUGAAUUCUAUGUAUUGUGUUUGUCUGUGUUUUUGUAAGUGAGAGGUUCUUAAAGUUAUGUAUGUGGCCGUGUUGUACUUGA
This is a long non-coding RNA of Neltuma alba, 517 nucleotides long. RefSeq lists it as uncharacterized. The record is from RefSeq and is a predicted model, not a curated record. NCBI's taxonomy places the organism in Eukaryota, Viridiplantae, Streptophyta, Magnoliopsida, Fabales, Fabaceae. The transcript has 2 exons.